This 486-nucleotide small RNA is filed under the name Mus musculus (house mouse). The record is from RNAcentral. Lineage: Eukaryota; Metazoa; Chordata; Mammalia; Rodentia; Muridae.
CCAAUGCCAGGGUCAGGAUUAGGACCAGGAAAGAGUGAUGAUUCUGACAUUUGGGAUGAUACAGCAUUGAUAAAAGCUUAUGAUAAAGCUGUGGCUUCCUUUAAGCAUGCUCUAAAGAACGGUGACAUUUGUGAAACUCCAGAUAAGCCAAAAGGCACAGCCAGAAGAAAACCUGCCAAGAAGAAUAAAAGCCAAAAGAAGAAUGCCACAACCCCCUUGAAACAGUGGAAAGUUGGUGACAAGUGUUCUGCUGUUUGGUCAGAAGACGGCUGCAUUUACCCAGCUACUAUUACGUCCAUUGACUUUAAGAGAGAAACCUGUGUCGUGGUUUAUACUGGAUAUGGAAACAGAGAGGAGCAAAACUUAUCUGACCUACUUUCCCCGACCUGUGAAGUAGCUAAUAGUACAGAACAGAACACUCAGGAGAAUGAAAGUCAAGUUUCCACAGACGACAGUGAACACUCCUCCAGAUCGCUCAGAAGUAAA